RNAcentral lists this long non-coding RNA (206 nucleotides) under Lathyrus oleraceus (garden pea). RNAcentral's name for it is "Pisum sativum (pea) long non-coding RNA (PSAT_LNC042110)". The record is from RNAcentral. Lineage: Eukaryota; Viridiplantae; Streptophyta; Magnoliopsida; Fabales; Fabaceae.
AAGAUAGGGAAGAUCAAGGUCAAACAAUAGAAAACAGAAGCAAAAUGAAGAUUAGAAGUCAAGAAACAAGUAAAAUAUUUUUGGUAUUUUUCAAUAUUAAAAUAAAACUUGAAUUAAAAUAAUAAAGAAAGGUCAAACUUCAAACUCACUUCAAAUCAACUUUGAAAAGUCCAAGUGAAUUAUCCCAAGUUCAACAAGGUCAAACA